Non-coding RNA from Pelobates cultripes (western spadefoot toad), 379 nucleotides. NCBI's taxonomy places the organism in Eukaryota, Metazoa, Chordata, Amphibia, Anura, Pelobatidae. The record is from the annotation of a GenBank genome assembly.
UCCUGAAAGAAAAGAAUCUUUAAAGAUUAAAAACAGAGGUUCACUUAUUUCUGCACUUAGUUCCUUAAGUACACGUGGAUGGAUACCGUCAGGCCCUGGAGCUUUGUUUAUAUUAACUUUCUUUAGUUGCUGCAGCACCUUGUCUUGAGUUAACCAAUUACAAUUAUUCUGCAAUUUUUUAGUAGCAAUCAUUUGCACAUCUAUUGCCAUGGGUUCUUCCUUAAUAUAUACGGAGGAGAAAUAGUUAUUUUAAAUUCCUGCCUUUUCCUGGUCUUCAUUAACUAACACCCCCGUUUCCGUUUUUAGUGUACCUACACUUGCAUUUUUAUUUAUUUUUUUAGAAUUUAUGUACUUAAAAAAUGCUUUGGGGUUGGUUUUG